CUUUUUGUUAACUUGCCGUCAGCCUUUUCUUUGACCUCUUCUUUCUGUUCAUGUGUAUUUGCUGUCUCUUAGCCCAGACUUCCCGUGUCCUUUCCACCGGUCCUUUGAGAGGUCACAGGGUCUUGAUGCUGUGGUCUUGAUCUGCAGGUGUCUGACUUCCAGCAACUGCUGGCCUGUGCCAGGGUGCAAGCUGAGCACUGGAGUGGAGUUUUCCUGUGGAGAGGAGCCAUGCCUAGAGUGGGAUGGGCCAUUGUUCAUCUUCUGGCCCCUGUUGUCUGCAUGUAACUUAAUACCACAACCAGGCAUAGGGGAAAGAUUGGAGGAAAGAUGAGUGAGAGCAUCAACUUCUCUGACAACCUAGGCCAGUGUGUGGUGAUGCCAGGCAUGCCCUUCCCUAGCAUCAGGUCUCCAGAGCUGCAGAAGACGACGGCCGACUUGGAUCACACUCUUGUGAGUGUCCCCAGUGUUGCAGAGGGCCAUCAGGCACCAAAGGGAUUCUGCCAGCAUAGUGCUCCUGGACCAGUGAUACACCCGGCACCCUGUCCUGGACAAGCUGUUGGCCUGGAUCUGAGCCCUCGUGGAGGUCAAAGCCACCUUUGGUUCUGCCAUUGCUGCUGUGUGGAAGUUCACUCCUGCCUUUUCCUUUCCCUAGAGCCUCCACCACCCCGAGAUCACAUUUCUCACUGCCUUUUGUCUGCCCAGUUUCACUAGAAGUAGGCCUCAUCCUGACAGGCAGCUGCACCACUGCCUGGCGCUGUGCCCUUCCUUUGCUCUGCCCGCUGGAGACGGUGUUUGUCAUGGGCCUGGUCUGCAGGGAUCCUGCUACAAAGGUGAAACCCAGGAGAGUGUGGAGUCCAGAGUGUUGCCAGGACCCAGGCACAGGCAUUAGUGCCCGUUGGAGAAAACGGGAAUCCCAAAGAAAUGGUGGGUCCUGGCCAUCCGUGAGAUCUUCCCAGGGCAGCUCCCCUCUGUGGAACCCAAUCUGUCUUCCAUCCUGUGUGGCCGAGGGCCAGGCUUCUCACUAGGCCUCUGCAGGAGGCUGCCAUUUGUCCUGCCCACCUUCUUAGAAGCGAGACGGAGCAGACCCAUCUGCUACUGCCCUUUCUAUAAUAACUAAAGUUAGCUGCCCUGGACUAUUCACCCCCUAGUCUCAAUUUAAAAAGAUCCCCAUGGCCACAGGGCCCCUGCCUGGGGGCUUGUCACCUCCCCCACCUUCUUCCUGAGUCACUCCUGCAGCCUUGCUCCCUAACCUGCCCCACAGCCUUGCCUGGAUGUCUAUCUCCCUGGCUUGGUGCCAGUUCCUCCAAGUCGAUGGCACCUCCCUCCCUCUCAACCACUUGAGCAAACUCCAAGACAUCUUCUACCCCAACACCAGCAAUUGUGCCAAGGGCCAUUAGGCUCUCAGCAUGACUAUUUUUAGAGACCCCGUGUCUGUCACUGAAACCUUUUUUGUGGGAGACUAUUCCUCCCAUCUGCAACAGCUGCCCCUGCUAACUGCCCUUCUCUCCUCCCUCUCAUCCCAGAGAAACAGGUCAGCUGGGAGCUUCUGCCCCCACUGCCUAGGGACCAACAGGGGCAGGAGGCAGUCACUGACCCCGAGACGUUUGCAUCCUGCACAGCUAGAGGUCCUUUAUUAAAAGCACACUGUUGGUUUCUGCUCA
This 1661-nucleotide long non-coding RNA is filed under the name Homo sapiens (human). RNAcentral describes it as "non-protein coding lnc-SLC35F5-16:3". The record is from RNAcentral. Lineage: Eukaryota; Metazoa; Chordata; Mammalia; Primates; Hominidae.